Molecule: long non-coding RNA, 913 nt
Organism: Scophthalmus maximus (turbot)
Lineage: Eukaryota; Metazoa; Chordata; Actinopteri; Pleuronectiformes; Scophthalmidae
Exons: 2
Source: RefSeq, a predicted model, not a curated record
UCAGACUCCUCAUUAACCUUCUCUUCAUCUUUCAGCGCUCUCUCUUCGUCCUGCCCAACCCAGCAUUCCUCAGUGCCACCUCCUCUCCGAACAGCAACAGUCACGUCAAAGAAUAUUCUCUAUGAGGGGAAUGACGACCAUCUGCAGCCCCCCUGCCCCAUGACAUCUGGAGACGGGCUGAGACACAACAACCGCAGAACUCAAACUCACACACACACACACACACACACACACACACACACACACACACACACACACACACACACGCACGCACGCACGCACACACACUGUCUUCACUGUAAUGAAAACUGUGCAGCAGAAAGAGACAAAGAAUGAGGUACAGUUCGGGGUGGAGUUGAAGGAAAGAAAUCGGGAGCAGAGAUGAGCACAGGGAUAUGGUGUAAGGUGUAAUGGCAGUAACACAUCAUGCCACUGUGGGGCUGUCGUCGUUCAGAGUACAUUUUCCUCUUCCCAGGACCGAGGAUAAUAAUUAAGGCCGAGUAGACGAAGCUGUGUUAAUGAGGACUCAUGUCUCCGUGGUCCUCUCCUCAGAACUACCUGUACAUCUGUCGAAGAGGUUGCCUUUUUUAUUUUUCACAAUGACACAUUGGAUCUUCAGUACUCUCUGCUUAUGUAUUCAUUGGUUUAUUACAUUACACCGGGCACAGCGGAGAGCAGAGAAAUUAGCAUUGCUGCAAAUGCACCAAAAGGCUAUUUUUAAUCUGUUGUCCCUGGACAGAAGUUACCUCGUCACCCUGAAGGAGAAUCCACAACUGAAAUGAUGAUUUAGUUUUUCCCCAAAUGGGAUUAUCAGUUGCAUCUGUUUUCAAUUUAGAAAUGUCUAUCUUCAACUUUAAAAGUGAAUGUGAUUAUCCCCUGCACUGUUUCUUGGAUAAAGGUAUCAUGCAUCGGU